GGGGUGCGUAGGAUAAGCAGAGGGGGGUGUAGUUUAAGAGCUUGGUUAUCUAGCUAUGGUGGAGUUGAUUUGAGGUGUAAAAACACUGAAUUUGUUUAAAGGGUAGUGAUUUUAGCUCAAAUCUUGACUUGGGUGUUGCUUGUUUUCUUGACUUGAGGUGGUUAGCUAGGUUAGCUUAACUAUAAUGGCAGUUGCUGUGCAGUUUAGCUGUUUAAAGAGGAAAAGAGGAGUUUUUCUUGUAGUUUUUAUGUUGGUUUACUUGUGGGGUUCUUUGAUUUCAUUAUCUUGUGCUGCUAGACUAUCUGUUUCAAGACAGAAGCUUGAGGUUGAAAAACACUUGAAAAGGGUCAAUAAACCUCCCAUUAAAAGCAUUGAGAGUUUAGAUGGGGAUAUCAUUGACUGUAUACACAUCUCUCAGCAGCCUGCUUUUGACCACCCAUUCCUCAAAGAUCACAAAAUCCAGAUGAGACCUAGCUACCAUCCAGAAGGGCUUUAUGAUGAGGAGAAAAUGACAACAAGGUCUAAAGAUAGUACUAGUCCCAUAACUCAGUUGUGGCAUAUGAAUGGAAGAUGCCCUGAGGACACUAUUCCUGUUAGGAGAACAAAAAAAGAUGAUGUUUUGAGGGCAAGUUCUGUCAAAAAGUAUGGUAAGAAGAAGCCCAAAGCCAUUGCUAAGCCAAGGUCUACAGAUCCUGACCUUACCAAUGAAAGUGGCCAUCAGCAUGCAAUAGCUUAUGUUGAAGGAGAUAGGUAUUAUGGAGCUAAAGCAACCAUUAAUGUUUGGGAGCCUAAGGUACAACAGUCUAAUGAGUUUAGCUUAUCUCAGCUUUGGAUUCUUG
This 839-nucleotide unclassified non-coding RNA is filed under the name Hevea brasiliensis (rubber tree). The record is from RNAcentral. Lineage: Eukaryota; Viridiplantae; Streptophyta; Magnoliopsida; Malpighiales; Euphorbiaceae.